AUACGGAGGAUGCGAGCGUUAUCCGGAUUUAUUGGGUUUAAAGGGAGCGUAGGUGGGAUAUUAAGUCAGCUGUGAAAGUUUGGGGCUCAACCUUAAAAUUGCAGGUGAUACUGGUUUCCUUGAGUACGGUACAGGUGGGCGGAAUUCGUGGUGUAGCGGUGAAAUGCUUAGAUAUCACGAAGAACUCCGAUCGCGAAGGCAGCUCACCGGGCCGGAACUGACACUGAUGCUCGAAAGUGCGGGUAUCAAACAGGAUUAGAUACCCUGGUAGUCCGCACAGUAAACGAUGAAUACUCGCUGUUUGCGAUACACGGUAAGCGGCCAAGCGAAAGCGUUAAGUAUUCCACCUGGGGAGUACGCCGGCAACGGUGAAACUCAAAGGAAUUGACGGGG
This 393-nucleotide ribosomal RNA is filed under the name uncultured bacterium. Its description in RNAcentral is "partial 16S ribosomal RNA". It matches the Rfam family "Bacterial small subunit ribosomal RNA", at positions 523 to 918 of the family's 1533-position model. The record is from RNAcentral.